GUGGAGCAGCCUGGUAGCUCGUCGGGCUCAUAACCCGAAGGUCGUCGGUUCAAAUCCGGCC
RNAcentral lists this transfer RNA (61 nucleotides) under Citrobacter freundii. RNAcentral's name for it is "tRNA-Met". It matches the Rfam family "tRNA", at positions 7 to 64 of the family's 71-position model. Rfam says of the family: Transfer RNA (tRNA) molecules are approximately 80 nucleotides in length. Their secondary structure includes four short double-helical elements and three loops (D, anti-codon, and T loops). RNAcentral also lists the same sequence under 34 other names. The record is from RNAcentral. Lineage: Bacteria; Pseudomonadati; Pseudomonadota; Gammaproteobacteria; Enterobacterales; Enterobacteriaceae.